Molecule: non-coding RNA, 193 nt
Organism: Nipponia nippon (crested ibis)
Lineage: Eukaryota; Metazoa; Chordata; Aves; Pelecaniformes; Threskiornithidae
Source: RefSeq, a predicted model, not a curated record
AAUGCCUAAGUCAAAGGAACUUGUGUCUUCAAGCUCGUCUGCCAGUGAUUCAGAUAGUGAAGUUGACAAAAAGGCAAAGCGGAAAAAGCAAGCAGCUCCAGAAAAGCCUGUAAAGAAACAAAAGACUGGUGAAAGUUCAAAAGGCGCAGCUUCUUCUAAGCAAAGCAGUAACAGAGACGAGAAUAUGUUUCAG